Molecule: ribosomal RNA, 271 nt
Filed under: uncultured bacterium
Lineage: Bacteria
Description: partial 16S ribosomal RNA
Rfam family: Bacterial small subunit ribosomal RNA
Source: RNAcentral
UCCGGCGACCGGCGGACGGGUGCGUAACGCGUAUGUAACCUACCUUUGUACAGGGGGAGUAACAUCGAGAAAUUGGUACUAAUACCCCACUAACAUCACCGGAGGCAUCUUCGGUGGUUGAAAACUCAGGUGGUCAGAGAUGGACAUGCGUUGUAUUAGCUAGUUGGUGAGGUAACGGCUCACCAAGGCGACGAUACAUAGGGGGACGUGAGAGGUCAACCCCCCACCAUUGGUACUGAGACACGGACCAAACUCCUACGGAAGGCAGCAG